AACGAACGCUGGCGGCAUGCCUAACACAUGCAAGUCGAACGAGAUCUUCGGGUCUAGUGGCGCACGGGUGCGUAACGCGUGGGAAUUUGCCCUUUGGUUCGGAAUAACAGUUGGAAACGACUGCUAAUACCGGAUGAUGACGAAAGUCCAAAGAUUUAUCGCCAGAGGAUGAGCCCGCGUAGGAUUAGCUAGUUGGUGUGGUAAAGGCGCACCAAGGCGACGAUCCUUAGCUGGUCUGAGAGGAUGAUCAGCCACACUGGGACUGAGACACGGCCCAGACUCCUACGGGAGGCAGCAGUGGGGAAUAUUGGACAAUGGGCGAAAGCCUGAUCCAGCAAUGCCGCGUGAGUGAUGAAGGCCUUAGGGUUGUAAAGCUCUUUUACCCGGGAUGAUAUGACAGUACCGGGAGAAUAAGCUCCGGCUAACUCCGUGCCAGCCGCCGCAGUAA
RNAcentral lists this ribosomal RNA (448 nucleotides) under uncultured bacterium. Its description in RNAcentral is "partial 16S ribosomal RNA". It matches the Rfam family "Bacterial small subunit ribosomal RNA", at positions 29 to 523 of the family's 1533-position model. The record is from RNAcentral.